AAGUUAGAAAUAUCCUUUUCUCUUCCUUCAUUCUUCUUGACAUUAUCAAUUUUGUCUUUAUAUUCCUGAUUUUUCAUAUAAGUUACAUUUUAAAUUUCCAAAUCACAUAGUAUCCUUUUUUUAUGCAACAAUCACAUAGUAGUGUUUUAUUCCUAUUCUCCCAAAAAAAGACUACAUUAUUGACCGUAUUAAUACAAUUCAAGCAUGUGAAAUGAAGAAAAAACUCUUUACCAAAAUCUGAAUACUCGUGAUGCCGUUACACCCGAUCUAUGAUAACAUUUUAUAUCUUUUUAUGCCUCUACUUCAUUGUUUAUGAAUUUUCCCCAAUCAUGAUAGUUGAAGUAUCUAUUCACACAAUAGUUUAUUUUAUGUAUGAUUUCGACUUAGUAGUUUUAUUUGAAUAUGAAUUGGCCGAAUUCCUUAAUUUUCUAUUAUUAUAUAUUAACUAGCUAGUUGUGAGUGGUGAAAAAAUUAUAGUGAUAGAUUUAAGGAAA
This 494-nucleotide small RNA is filed under the name Arabidopsis thaliana (thale cress). RNAcentral describes it as "ATSL044500". The record is from RNAcentral. Lineage: Eukaryota; Viridiplantae; Streptophyta; Magnoliopsida; Brassicales; Brassicaceae.